UACAGAGGUCCCAAGCGUUGUUCGGAUUCACUGGGCGUAAAGGGUGCGUAGGCGGUCGAGUAAGUCUGACGUGAAAUCUCCGGGCCUAACCCGGAAACUGCGUCGGAUACUAUCCGGCUAGAGGAUUGGAAGGGAGACUGGAAUACUUGGUGUAGCAGUGAAAUGCGUAGAUAUCAAGUGGAACACCAGUGGCGAAGGCGAGUCUCUGGACAAUUCCUGACGCUGAGGCACGAGAGCCAGGGGAGCAAACGGG
Molecule: ribosomal RNA, 253 nt
Filed under: uncultured bacterium
Lineage: Bacteria
Description: partial 16S ribosomal RNA
Rfam family: Bacterial small subunit ribosomal RNA
Source: RNAcentral